RNAcentral lists this long non-coding RNA (1116 nucleotides) under Oryctolagus cuniculus (rabbit). Its description in RNAcentral is "lncRNA (ENSOCUG00000038492.1)". Lineage: Eukaryota; Metazoa; Chordata; Mammalia; Lagomorpha; Leporidae. The record is from RNAcentral.
CCCCGUGACUGGCGGAGGCUGCCUUCUGCCGUUCGUGGGCGUUGCGCUGUGGCUCGCUGCGCGCACCGAGGCUGCGGACGGGGCUGGCCGAGCCGGCGAGGCCGCGUUUUGCAGAGCCGGAUUCACUCGGGUUUUAGAUGGGUUUGGGAAGGGCUCAGGCGGUUAAGAGGGCCCGGCUACCCCAGGCGGUGCGUGCGUGUCGCAGCCUGUGCGUGUCAGGAGCCAGGUCCCCUCCCGGCGCCUUGCGGGGACCUCACCUGCGCUGGAUUUAGAUGUCUGCGGGGACAAGAACUCGCGAUUCACCUGACGGAUGCUCGGUGUCCACGCUGUGUACACAAACCCGAGCGAGGCUGGAGUCCCGGGCGCUCGGCCUCGGCUCAUCGAACGAUUUGCGCUAUUAAUGGUUAUUUUAUUUAUAUCGUUAGAAUUGUCCCUCUGGGUCUGUUUACACCAAAGUCUGGCCGUCCCGGCCGCAGUGUUUGGACAGGGGAUUACACUAAUGGAUGGCGGGCCAGGAGGGGAGCAGUAGGCGCGGCUGGAAACGGGGCUCCAGGCCGCCGCGCGCGGUGGGCCUGGGCGGAGGGGCGCGGCCUCUGCCAGGCGCGACCUCCGACCCCGGAGGGGAAGGAAACCUGUCCGCGCGCGAUAGGAAGCCUUGGCCUGCAGCGGGGUGGGGGCUGCUCCCGGGGCCCUUGCCCCUCUCCCUUCCCGGGGCCUGCUCCAACCCCGAGGUCGUCGCGCUGGGGCGCGUCCUCAUCAACAAGUAAACAAGGCCAGGAGCUGCCCGGGUGGGCGGCUUCUUUGAUUCUCCCCGGUUGGUGGCGGCGGUUUAGUGCGCCGACCCCCAAAUCCGGAUUACAGUCGAGCCUCGGGCGCCUGGAGGCCCAGGGGGUUAGGGCCGCCUUCAAAGGGUACUGCUCUAGGUGCGUGAGCGCAGCUCCGCCGGUUGGGGGAAGACCUGCAGCCCCGGGCCCGGCGACGGCGCCCCUGGCACUGGCUGCCGGCGCUGGUGCAGAAGCCCGGCCCCACGCAGCGGGGCGGCUGGCACCUGGCCGCGUCCUGGGCCAGGGGAGGGGUGUGGAGGUGUCCUGGGAGCCUUUAGCUUGGGAAGACUAG